RNAcentral lists this ribosomal RNA (1586 nucleotides) under Paranoplocephala kalelai. Its description in RNAcentral is "partial 28S rRNA". It matches the Rfam family "Eukaryotic large subunit ribosomal RNA", at positions 86 to 936 of the family's 3401-position model. Lineage: Eukaryota; Metazoa; Platyhelminthes; Cestoda; Cyclophyllidea; Anoplocephalidae. The record is from RNAcentral.
ACGGCGAGUGAAGAGGGAAGAGCCCAGCACCGAAGCCUGCGGCAGCUUUGCUGUUAGGCAAUGUGGUGUGCGGGUCGGUUCGCGGGACCGUCACUCCGCUCGAAGUCCAGCAUUGAGUAUGGUUAUCACUGGAUUUGGCCCAUAGAGGGUGAGAGGCCCGUACGAGUGGAGGUUCAGACAUGUAUGACGGUUCACCAGGCCGACCUCAGAGUCGGGUUGUUUGAGAUUGCAGCCCAAAGAGGGUGGUAAACUCCAUCCAAGGCUAAAUACUGACACGAGUCCGAUAGCGAACAAGUACCGUGAGGGAAAGUUGAAAAGUACUCUGAAGAGAGAGUAAACAGUACGUGAAGCCGCAUGCAGGUAAACGGGUGGCGUCAAGCUGCGAGCCCGGAGGAUUCAACUGAUUAGGAUGUAGUGUACGCGCGCCCGGUGCGUCGAGAGACCGGAAUAAGAUGUUUUGCGGUCCGCUCCUCUGCUAGGAGUGGGGCGCUAUCAGUGUGCACGCGAAAGCGUGCCUGCUGGUUGUCGCUAUGCAUGCCGGGUGGGUGCCGGAGCAUGCCGCUCAUCUGUUGGGUCACCUAGUCAGUGCAUUUUCUCCGCGGUGAACACCACGACCGGUGGAACUGCCAGUCUGCUGUCAUCAAGUCGUGUCCAUCUGACCCCUCCCUCUUGCUCCUUCGUGGGUGAUGGGUGGAUGUGUGUGUUGGGUGGGUACGAUCGCGGAUGGAGUCGGUGGACGGCGCAGUGGUGUCUCGGCACCGCCGCGUGUUAUCGUGCACUCUCCGUCCUAAGCGAUUAGUGGGGCUGACUGAGCGCUGUAACUGCCUCCCCAUUGAUCGGCGGAUAGCAGUGGUAAAAAUGACUGUGCAGGGCACCGGAGUUGUCCACCUCAUUCAUUUAUUCAUUCGUGAAUAAGUGAAAAUGGCACCCGACACGCACGUUACAGGUGCUAUGCAAUCGGGGCGCGCCGCUGCCUGUCUAGUGUUGGGCCUGACCGUCGUGUUGCCUGCGCAAAGUGGGUCCGGCGGUGGUUACAGACACUUGGCAAUGGUAGUGUGUAGCGCGUUUCGGGUGUGUGUGGUGCCGGGGGUGAAAUAGUCAGUGGUGCUGUGGUAGACGAGCUACCCGACCCGUCUUGAAACACGGACCAAGGAGUUUAACAUGUGUGCGAGUCAAAGGGUCCUACGAAACCCCUAGGCGCAGUGAAAGUGAAGUUCAUGCUGUACUUCUGUGCAUACGCAGUGCAGUGUGGCGAGGUGAGAUCUCCUUGUGCUCAUGACACACGCCGCAGACCUUACUGGGCAAUAUUGGGGCAAGGAGCGCAUCACCGGCCCGUCGCAUGUUGUGGUCAUAGGUGUACUUGUACGUUGAGGGGUGCGUGUGCGUGCUUCGGCGCGUGCAUGUACUUGGAGGCGUGCAAAGCCUGUGCGUCAGCGCGGCGGAGCAUGAGCACCCAUGUUGAGACCCGAAAGAUGGUGAACUAUGCUUGCGUAGGUUGAAGCCAGAGGAAACUCUGGUGGAGGACCGUAGCGAUUCUGACGUGCAAAUCGAUCGUCAAACGUGAGUAUAGGGGCGAAAGACUAAUC